GGCACCUGCACCACAGCAAC
Molecule: non-coding RNA, 20 nt
Filed under: Vibrio phage 1.049.O._10N.286.54.B5
Lineage: Duplodnaviria; Heunggongvirae; Uroviricota; Caudoviricetes
Source: RNAcentral